Molecule: long non-coding RNA, 3131 nt
Filed under: Mus musculus (house mouse)
Lineage: Eukaryota; Metazoa; Chordata; Mammalia; Rodentia; Muridae
Description: long non-coding RNA chr12:29037476-29040607
Source: RNAcentral
UUUAAUCUUAAACUUUGUGUUCUUACAUUUAAAACAUAUACUUCGAUUUUUAAAAGUGGUUGCUGUUGUGAUAUUUACAUUUUCCUGUUAUAUAAUUGUAUGGAAAUCGAGCCUUUUGCUCUCUCACUCCCUAUCUGUACCUCUCUUCUUUGUUCUGAUAUCCUCCUUUGUUUUGAUCAGUUAUAGUUCUCUUGUGUUUUAUACCCGACCUUGUUACCUCUGUAGUUACCCACACUUCCACUCUCCAGUGGUUGCUGUAGAGACCACAACAGGAGUCCUUGGUUUAGAGGAGUGUAUGCUAAAAUAGUAUUUCUCUUAUUUCCUGGAUGAUACAAGGGCAUUCUUACACUGUGACUUCUAUUUUUUUUCUUGGCAAUUAUUAUGUUUUGAUUCUCCUUACGCUUUAAAUCCUAGAAUAAUUUUCUUAACGAAUUUAUGUUCAGUUAGAGACAGCCGUCUCUUAACCUUUACUGAUAGUUUUUAUUUCUCCCGACAGUAAUAUGUAUCUUUCUGACAGUAUUUUUCCUCUGUUCAAAGUCUCCUGUUUUGUUUCUUUAUUAUUUAGCAUUGUUCUACACCCGCUGAAUUUUCAAGUCCUGUUUGUUUAAAGGCACAUUUAUUCACUCUCAUCUUUAAAGGUGUUUCUGCUAUGAGUCCAGUUCUUGUUUGGCGAUAUGCAUGGACAAUUCUACAGCUGUCGUUUGCUUGUCUCCUGGCUGUCAUGGUCCUGACUAUCAAGGUGGUAUCAGUAUUGCUACUUCCUUUUAAUGAAAAGCUUUAUUUCUUCUAUGUUUAGUAUUUUCUGUUUUCUUCCAACAGUUUUGGAUUGCUAUGGUAGGUACAGUUCUAAAAUGUUUCCCUAUCGUCCUCAGGCCUGUGAUUUUCAGUGCAGAUGGGUUAUGGACAUAUGAAGAGUGGAGGCUACCGCCCUGUACAGGAGGGAGUCUGAAGAUACAGCCUGGAUCCUACACCAACUGACAUGGAUCAAGGGGUAGAAGUCACAACUGGGCUGGACUUGACUCAGUCAAGCCAAGUGCUAUCUUUGCAUGCAAAGUGUUUUCCCAUCUUGCUUUGGAGGAUAUACAUACAGCCAUAACGGAGGCUUCUACAGAUGUAGAUAGUCUGUAAUUGUGUUAGAGCAGUCCCUGGCCCCUAGCUGUGAAAAAUUAGACCUUCAGGACUGUAUUCUGACAGCCUAAGGGAACUUGGAGAAGUGUCCUGUGUUUCUUCUGAGAACCCCAGUGUGAGCCACAGCUUAAGGGCACUAAGCACAGAAUCAGACAUGUCUCUGUUCCAAGGAUCUCUCUGCAAAUAUAUGCACAAAGGCUUAUUGUUGCAGGGCACAGAAAACUGAUGCUUCCCCAGUUUUAGUAGUAUGGUGAUGGACUCUGAGGCCUUGCACAUCCUAGGCAAGCCCUCUAACAUUAGAGCACAUCCUAGACCCUGAUUUUAAUUUUUCAUUAUGUUCUCUUCUGUUGAGACAGGGUCUUGUAUAGCUCAGUCUGACUUUGAACUCACUGUCAGUGAGAAUGGCCUUGAACUGCUGAUCGCCCUGCCUUCACCUCCCAUGCGCUGAAUGUUUUGGAACUGUGCUUGGUCAGGGAUACCUUCUCUCCUUUCUUCCUUUCUCGUCUUCAUUGGGUUAUUUAUAGUGCCUCGUGUGCCUUGUGUCUGUGUCUUCUGCAUUUAGUUUUGUGCAUGACUUUAAAGCGUCUUCAAGGGAAGUCUGGUGUGUCCCUCAGGUUUACUUUCAAACCCAUUGUGGCUUACACUCCAAUAGUCUUCCCAAUCCUGAAGCCUUCUGAAACAUCUAUGGGACAUUUGCAGCCUUCCAUUUCUGUUCCUAGCUAAUGCUUCAAGGUGCGCUCAGUUUAAGAGGUGGGCGGGUACUUCAGGAGGAAAUCAGUUCACAUCUCCAUGUGUCCUUCAUUUCCAGGAUCUUAAUUCUGUUAUAUCUAACUGUUGCUUAUCCCAAAGCCCUUGCUUGGUUUAUGUCCUUAAUGUAGUAAAGAUUCUGCUAGACCUUAACCAUAGGGGGUUUUUUUUUUCCUUUAUGAUUCAGUGUAAAAUUUGAAAAUUGUUGUGGAAAAAAAUAAUGGAUAAUGUUCCAAUUAUAGAUGUUUCCCCCUUUCCUCUCUAGAGUUGGUGUUUUAUAUAUUCUGGUUGUCUUCACUGAUCUCUGGCUUGUUUUAAUUGUCCUCCGUGAGAGAAUUCUAUCAGCCUUCCGAGCUCAGCGUGUGUUAAGCACAGGCAGGAAGUCAAAACCCAAGUGAGUCUCCAUUUACUAAAGAAGGAGAUCCCAAGUUUUCUUUCAGUUCUGUUAGGAAUUGAUGACAAGAUCAAUUGGACGUGGAAGAAAACAUGCUUCUGGCUAGUGGGCGGAAGCACAGCAAGUGGUGUAGCCAGGAAGCACUGUGGUCUACAACUGAAAUGCGUCCCUGUUCACUAGUUUCAUGGGUCAGCAGUAUAAUCCCUGACAUCACUAAGCAGAGGCAGAUGAAAGGCCUUAGCGUGAUAAAUAGUGACGAAAGUGAAGGUACUGUUCAGCAGUGGGACCUACUGCCACAUCAUCUGGCCUUGGGUAAUAAAUGACACACAGCACAGUGUAUUAUACAGACCGCUGGGAAUGGCUUGUGCUUCUGAAUCUCAGGCCCAUCCCUUGUGUCUUGAGGCCAAGUCCAAUCUGAGCAAGGAGGCACUUACAGAGGGCGGGAUUGUGAUUUCAUGCAUGGUCUGUAAGAGUCAGGUGAGACGGGCUUAGGACCUGUUAUUAACCAUGUUCAGCACUAGAAAGCAAUGCAAAUCUCCAGUUUCCCGUUAGUGUUGGGGUAAUAAAGAACCAUCCUUGUCAUAGCUUGUUUUGGUGUCUGUGUGAUGUGGCCAUUUCCCACUCUCACCCUCUUGGCAUCUCCUGUCCACAUUCAGGACACAACCACACACACUAACACUUACUGAUCAGGUUCCUGAUUGCUGCCCCAUGUGUUAAGAACCAUGCACAGCUGGGUGGAGUGGGAGGCAGGUUAAAAUCCUUCCCUGAAGGUCUCAGUGCUCAAGCAAAUGUCAUAUUUGCUUUCUCUGUAUUACCAGGCCUGACCUGCUCCAUGGACAUAACAGGUACUAAGCUGGAUAUG